AUUACUGCCCUGGUAGCGGGAGGGUUGUCUGAGAUUCAGGAGGAGAUCAGCAAGUUGAGGGUACAUUUCACCAUCAGAGCAGGACAGACGGCCCUGAUGCUGGCAGUCAGCCACGGGCGGGUGGACGUUGUCAAAGCCCUGCUGGCCUGUGAGGCAGACGUCAACGUGCAAGAUGAUGACGGCUCCACGGCCCUCAUGUGCGCCUGUGAGCACGGCCACAAGGAGAUCGCGGGGCUGCUGCUGGCCGUGCCCAGCUGUGACAUCUCACUCACAGAUCGCGAUGGGAGCACAGCUCUGAUGGUGGCCUUGGACGCAGGGCAGAGUGAGAUUGCGUCCAUGCUAUAUUCCCGCAUGAACAUCAAGUGCUCGUUUGCCCCAAUGUCAGAUGACGAGAGCCCUACAUCAUCCUCGGCAGAAGAGUAGCCGUGAGGGAGGCAGGGGCCAGCCAGACCGGGAGCAAACCGUCCCUUGUCCCGUCUCCUCCCUGUUCCUGUUCCUCCCUGGCCCACCCCACUCACACUCCCCAAGGCCCACAGCUCAAAGGCAAGCGAGCUCUCCCUCUGCUUCCCUGGGGGAGCCCCGACGGCCACAGGACUCCAGCUCCAAGCGGGUUUUAUUGGCUCCCUGGUUCAAAGUGGCCACAGCGCAGACCAAAGCAAAAUUCUUGUAUA
Molecule: small RNA, 671 nt
Filed under: Pongo abelii (Sumatran orangutan)
Lineage: Eukaryota; Metazoa; Chordata; Mammalia; Primates; Hominidae
Description: processed transcript
Source: RNAcentral